CCUACGGGAGGCAGCAGUGGGGAAUAUUGGACAAUGGGGGGAACCCUGAUCCAGCCAUGCCGCGUGUGUGAAGAAGGCCCUCGGGUUGUAAAGCACUUUCAGUGAGGAAGAACGCCUGGUGGUUAAUACCCAUCAGGAAAGACAUCACUCACAGAAGAAGCACCGGCUAACUCCGUGCCAGCAGCCGCGGUAAUACGGAGGGUGCGAGCGUUAAUCGGAAUUACUGGGCGUAAAGCGCGCGUAGGUGGCUUGAUAAGCCGGUUGUGAAAGCCCCGGGCUCAACCUGGGAACGGCAUCCGGAACUGUCAAGCUAGAGUGCAGGAGAGGAAGGUAGAAUUCCCGGUGUAGCGGUGAAAUGCGUAGAGAUCGGGAGGAAUACCAGUGGCGAAGGCGGCCUUCUGGACUGACACUGACACUGGGGUGCGAAAGCGUGGGUAGCAAACAGGAUUAGAUACCCUUGUAGUC
RNAcentral lists this ribosomal RNA (465 nucleotides) under Vreelandella stevensii. RNAcentral's name for it is "partial 16S ribosomal RNA". It matches the Rfam family "Bacterial small subunit ribosomal RNA", at positions 338 to 795 of the family's 1533-position model. Lineage: Bacteria; Pseudomonadati; Pseudomonadota; Gammaproteobacteria; Oceanospirillales; Halomonadaceae. The record is from RNAcentral.